This 392-nucleotide ribosomal RNA is filed under the name uncultured bacterium. RNAcentral's name for it is "partial 16S ribosomal RNA". It matches the Rfam family "Bacterial small subunit ribosomal RNA", at positions 523 to 918 of the family's 1533-position model. The record is from RNAcentral.
ACACGUAGGGGCCUGACGUUGUUCGGAAUCAUUGGGCGUAAAGGGCGCGCAGGCGGCCGUCCAAGUCCGGUGUUAAAUGGUCGGGCUCAACCCGAUCAUGCGCUGGAAACUGGGCGGCUGGAGUCCCGGAGGGGAUGACGGAAUUCCAGGUGUCGGGGUGAAAUCUGUAGAUAUCUGGAAGAACACCGAUGGCGAAGGCAGGCAUCUGGCCGGAGACUGACGCUGAGGCGCGAAGGCGCGGGGAGCGAACAGGUUUAGAUACCCUGGUAGUCCGCGCAGUAAACGAUGCGCACCAGGUGUCGGGCGGCAGCGCCCGGUACCGGAGCAAACGCGAUGAGUGCGCCGCCUGGGGAGUAUGCCCGCAAGGGUGAAACUCAAAUGAAUUGGCGGGG